UACAGAGGGGGCAAGCGUUAUUCGGAAUUAUUGGGCGUAAAGGGCGCGUAGGCGGCUUGGCAAGUGGAUGGUGAAAUCCCUCGGCUUAACCGAGGAACUGCCAUCCAGACUGCUUUGCUUGAGGCCGGGAGAGGUGAGUGGAAUUCCCAGUGUAGCGGUGAAAUGCGUAGAUAUUGGGAGGAACACCAGUGGCGAAGGCGGCCUGCUGGGCAGUGGCUGACGCUGAUGCGCGACAGCGUGGGGAGCAAACAGG
RNAcentral lists this ribosomal RNA (253 nucleotides) under uncultured bacterium. RNAcentral's name for it is "partial 16S ribosomal RNA". It matches the Rfam family "Bacterial small subunit ribosomal RNA", at positions 524 to 776 of the family's 1533-position model. The record is from RNAcentral.